Mauremys reevesii (Reeves's turtle) is the source of this 367-nucleotide long non-coding RNA. RefSeq lists it as uncharacterized. The transcript is spliced from 3 exons. Lineage: Eukaryota; Metazoa; Chordata; Testudines; Geoemydidae. The record is from RefSeq and is a predicted model, not a curated record.
AGGGAGCAGGCAUACUGAUGGGGCCAGAAGAGUGCAGUGAAUUUGAUUUGAAGGGGUCUGGACUGUGGUCACCUCUGAGACUUCAGCCAAUGUGAAAACCUAAUUAAAGUGAAGAUGGCCGAGCUCGAAAGAAGUUUCACCUGUUGCGAGGAAUCCAGCACAGAAGGCCUCUAACUAGGAGUCAUUGAAGACAUGAAUUACCCUGGGUACAACAAUAGCGGAUGGAGAGUGAAACUUAGCAUCCAUUUAAAGGCUUUGUCUGUGCAAAAGCUAACUCAAGUAACUUGCCGACUAGCAGGGAAUAAAGAUCUCUCUCUGUGAGAAGCUGCAGUAUUGUGGCUGCAGACACUCUUUCAACUGCCUUCAA